GACGAACGCUGGCGGCGUGCUUAACACAUGCAAGUCGAACGAUGAUCCGGUGCUUGCACCGGGGAUUAGUGGCGAACGGGUGAGUAACACGUGAGUAACCUGCCCUUGACUCUGGGAUAAGCCUGGGAAACCGGGUCUAAUACCGGAUACGACCUGUCACCGCAUGGUGGUGGGUGGAAAGAUUUUUUGGUUUUGGAUGGACUCGCGGCCUAUCAGCUUGUUGGUGAGGUAAUGGCUCACCAAGGCGACGACGGGUAGCCGGCCUGAGAGGGUGACCGGCCACACUGGGACUGAGACACGGCCCAGACUCCUACGGGAGGCAGCAGUGGGGAAUAUUGCACAAUGGGCGAAAGCCUGAUGCAGCGACGCCGCGUGAGGGAUGACGGCCUUCGGGUUGUAAACCUCUUUCAGCAGGGAAGAAGCGAAAGUGACGGUACCUGCAGAAGAAGCGCCGGCUAACUACGUGCCAGCAGCCGCGGUAAUACGUAGGGCGCAAGCGUUGUCCGGAAUUAUUGGGCGUAAAGAGCUCGUAGGCGGUUUGUCGCGUCUGCUGUGAAAGCCCGGGGCUCAACCCCGGGUCUGCAGUGGGUACGGGCAGACUAGAGUGCAGUAGGGGGAGACUGGAAUUCCUGGUGUAGCGGUGAAAUGCGCAGAUAUCAGGAGGAACACCCGAUGGCGAAGGCAGGUCUCUGGGCUGUAACUGACGCUGAGGAGCGAAAGCAUGGGGAGCGAACAGGAUUAGAUACCCUGGUAGUCCAUGCCGUAAACGUUGGGCACUAGGUGUGGGGGACAUUCCACGUUUUCCGCGCCGUAGCUAACGCAUUAAGUGCCCCGCCUGGGGAGUACGGCCGCAAGGCUAAAACUCAAAGGAAUUGACGGGGGCCCGCACAAGCGGCGGAGCAUGCGGAUUAAUUCGAUGCAACGCGAAGAACCUUACCAAGGCUUGACAUGGACCGGACCGCCGCAGAAAUGCGGUUUCCCUUCGGGGCUGGUUUACAGGUGGUGCAUGGUUGUCGUCAGCUCGUGUCGUGAGAUGUUGGGUUAAGUCCCGCAACGAGCGCAACCCUCGUUCUAUGUUGCCAGCGCGUUAUGGCGGGGACUCAUAGGAGACUGCCGGGGUCAACUCGGAGGAAGGUGGGGACGACGUCAAAUCAUCAUGCCCCUUAUGUCUUGGGCUUCACGCAUGCUACAAUGGCCGGUACAAAGGGUUGCGAUACUGUGAGGUGGAGCUAAUCCCAAAAAGCCGGUCUCAGUUCGGAUUGAGGUCUGCAACUCGACCUCAUGAAGUCGGAGUCGCUAGUAAUCGCAGAUCAGCAACGCUGCGGUGAAUACGUUCCCGGGCCUUGUACACACCGCCCGUCAAGUCACGAAAGUUGGUAACACCCGAAGCCGGUGGCCUAACCCCUUGUGGGAGGGAGCCGUCGAAGGUGGGACCGGCGAUUGGG
RNAcentral lists this ribosomal RNA (1445 nucleotides) under Arthrobacter sp. ITP10. Its description in RNAcentral is "16S ribosomal RNA". It matches the Rfam family "Bacterial small subunit ribosomal RNA". The record is from RNAcentral. Lineage: Bacteria; Bacillati; Actinomycetota; Actinomycetes; Micrococcales; Micrococcaceae.